RNAcentral lists this ribosomal RNA (440 nucleotides) under uncultured bacterium. Its description in RNAcentral is "partial 16S ribosomal RNA". It matches the Rfam family "Bacterial small subunit ribosomal RNA", at positions 338 to 795 of the family's 1533-position model. The record is from RNAcentral.
CCUACGGGAGGCAGCAGUGGGGAAUAUUGCACAAUGGGGGAAACCCUGAUGCAGCGACGCCGCGUGAGGGAAGAAGUAUUUCGGUACGUAAAGCUCUAUCAGCCGGGAAGAAAAUGACGGUACCUGACUAAGACGCCCCGGCUAACUACGUGCCAGCAGCCGCGGUAAUACGUAGGGGGCAAGCGUUAUCCGGAUUUACUGGGUGUAAAGGGAGCGUAGACGGGAGCGCAAGGCUGGAGUGAAAUCCCAUGGCUUAACCAUGGAACUGCUUUGGAAACUGGGCAGCUAGAGUGCAGGAGAGGUAAGCGGAAUGCCUAGUGUAGCGGUGAAAUGCGUAGAUAUUAGGAGGAACACCAGUGGCGAAGGCAGCUUACUGGACUGUAACUGACGUUGAGGCUCGAAAGCGUGGGGAGCAAACAGGAUUAGAUACCCCUGUAGUC